AAUAUUAUGAAAUACUUUCACUAAAAGUAUUUCAUAAUAUUCUAAAUAAAAUUAUUAUUAUGAUAUAAGAUCAUACUAAUUUCAUGGAUUUUUCUUACAGACUCAGAUACUGAAAUCUCAGAGUUAUCAAAAAGUCUAACUGAUUCAGAUCCAGUGGUUUCAUCAUUGAAAGAAAAGAUCAAAUCUCUUGAAGAUUAAGAUAAGAAUGUUCGGUGUCUCAUUUGUUUGUAUUUUGCAGAAAGAUAUUAGUAUUAGAGGGGCAUGUCGCAGAAAGCCCAAAACAAUUCUGCCACAGGGUAAUUGGGAAAUGUAAAGUAAGAGUUUUCUUU
This is a non-coding RNA of Parasteatoda tepidariorum (common house spider), 329 nucleotides long. The record is from RefSeq and is a predicted model, not a curated record. NCBI's taxonomy places the organism in Eukaryota, Metazoa, Arthropoda, Arachnida, Araneae, Theridiidae.